GGAAGGGAGGAAGCGUAGAAGGUGCCGAUGCACUUUUCCUCUCUCCAGCCCUCCUGACUGCUCCAAGAAUUUCAUCGAACAAGACUCAAAGAGGCCCAGCUGCUCUGCGUUUUGAUUCUUCUCCCUCUCUCAGUCCACACUGACCUGGGAGGGGCUUCUCAAACACCACAUUUCCUAGCGUGCUGUGAGAAGAGGACUGUGAGCUAAGAAGGGAGAAAAGCCAAAUAAAAAUACAGACAAACCAACCAACCAAGCACUGACGAGCCAGUAAAGAGGGAACUGUCGGGGAAUCAGGGCUGAGAGAAUCUCUGAUACAGCAGCGGAAAUAGGCACUCCCUCCUCAUCAACAAACACCUGACCUGGGUAGACCCUCUGCUUACCAAGAUCCAGUCCACCUUUUGACAUCAGCAUUCAUGCUGCCUCUUUUUACGAACCAAGCCAAAGUGGUCCCUUCCUCUGGAAAUUAUAGGAUACUUAAUGUACAUCAUAUCCAGCUUCCCGACUCCAGACUGUGGGAGAUGACACAGAGCCAGCCUGCCUGGAUGUGACUCAGCUCUGCAACUUAUUAAAGACCUUUGGCAAAUCACCUAA
This 591-nucleotide long non-coding RNA is filed under the name Homo sapiens (human). RNAcentral's name for it is "novel transcript". The record is from RNAcentral. Lineage: Eukaryota; Metazoa; Chordata; Mammalia; Primates; Hominidae.